RNAcentral lists this ribosomal RNA (288 nucleotides) under uncultured Anaerococcus sp. RNAcentral's name for it is "partial 16S ribosomal RNA". The record is from RNAcentral. Lineage: Bacteria; Bacillati; Bacillota; Tissierellia; Tissierellales; Peptoniphilaceae.
CUACCCGGGUAUCUAAUCCUGUUUGCUACCCACGCUUUCGUACCUCAGCGUCAGAUGAUGACCAGAAAGUCGCCUUCGCCACCGGUAUUCUUCCUAAUAUCUGCGCAUUUCACCGCUACACUAGGAAUUCCACUUUCCCUUCCAUCUCUCAAGCCUAGCAGUUUUAAAAGCUUUAUAUAGUUGAGCUAUAUUCUUUAACUUCUAACUUACUAGGCCGCCUACGUACCCUUUACGCCCAAUGAUUCCGGACAACGCUCGGUCCAUACGUAUUACCGCGGCUGCUGGCAC